AAUGAUCAUCUAGUCAUUAGCUUAAAAAAUGUCUUCUCUUGAAUAAAAUUUGUUAACCUUCAUGUUAUGCAAAUACAUACAUCUUUCACGAGUGUGAAACCAUUUUUCACAUGUCACAUCAACAUUCUCAUGAAUUAAUUCUCAUGUUUAGAGAUGUGUGUAAGUACUCCAAAAUGGUAAUGGUGUACAUCAUUAGUUUGAUUUUUUUAAGAUGUGAACACAAAAUCUCACAUUGAUGAAGGAGAUAUCUUUGCUGCAGGCACAAUUGUUUGAGAGAUAUUGUCUUCUUUCCUAGGUUUAAGGUUUCCAAAAACAAGGAAAUCAAUUAUGAUUCUCCAUAUUUUCGAAAUAUACCCAUUAAGUAAUUCGUUUGUUUAUAUUGUAUACCCUUUUUUCUUUUUGUGAAAUUGAAAGAGAGAGAGAGAGAGAGAGAGAGAGAGAGAGAGAGAGAUACAAUUAUAUGGUCUGCGGGACGUAGUAUGAACGGAUUGAUUUCAUGCUUAUUUUUAG
This 510-nucleotide long non-coding RNA is filed under the name Carica papaya (papaya). Its description in RNAcentral is "long non-coding RNA (CPAP_LNC009154)". Lineage: Eukaryota; Viridiplantae; Streptophyta; Magnoliopsida; Brassicales; Caricaceae. The record is from RNAcentral.